This 216-nucleotide unclassified non-coding RNA is filed under the name Hevea brasiliensis (rubber tree). Lineage: Eukaryota; Viridiplantae; Streptophyta; Magnoliopsida; Malpighiales; Euphorbiaceae. The record is from RNAcentral.
AAGUAUAUAUAUAUAAAUAAUAUUGUAUUUUUACGUUUUUAGGUAUAAAUUUUUUAUAUAUGAUAUUGGGUGGAGAGAGAGGAAGGAGAUAUGUUAUGGGGAUUAAGGUUAGAGGGAAAAAAUUUAAAUAAAAUUAAAGAAUAGAGGGGGUUUAAAAUGUUUAGUUAUGAUAAUUAAUAUGUUAUGAAUUGAAGAAAUAAUUUAGUUUUGUAUUAA